RNAcentral lists this long non-coding RNA (340 nucleotides) under Olea europaea (common olive). RNAcentral's name for it is "long non-coding RNA (OEUR_LNC010957)". The record is from RNAcentral. Lineage: Eukaryota; Viridiplantae; Streptophyta; Magnoliopsida; Lamiales; Oleaceae.
GCCUUUUAACUGCUGCCAUUACCUUUCAUCGUUCAACCGCUUUCGAUUGAAUUCCUUGAGUCGUGGAACGUGAUAGGGCUGCUUUAACAACUGCCUUGAUAACUGCAUUUCUUGAUAACCACGACGCGUUAUGUCUGUUGAUACCUUGGGCGACUUGAAGGUUUGGGCGAGAAUAGAAUAACAGCUCUGGGCGACCGUAUAACACUCUAUUCGUUCAGAUUCUGGGCGACUUGCAAACUUGGGCGAUGGCGUUACAGCAUUCUUGGGCCCCCUUAUUUGGGCUUUCACCUUAAUUUGUUCGAUUGGACUUCGUUCUUUGGGCUAUCUGAUUUGGGGAUCC